RNAcentral lists this unclassified non-coding RNA (345 nucleotides) under soil metagenome. RNAcentral's name for it is "partial contains 5.8S ribosomal RNA, internal transcribed spacer 2, and large subunit ribosomal RNA". The stretch from base 1 to 120 matches the Rfam family "5.8S ribosomal RNA", at positions 35 to 154 of the family's 154-position model. The record is from RNAcentral.
GAUGAAGAACGCAGCGAAAUGCGAUAAGUAAUGUGAAUUGCAGAAUUCAGUGAAUCAUCGAAUCUUUGAACGCACAUUGCGCCCGCUAGUAUUCUGGCGGGCAUGCCUGUCCGAGCGUCAUUUCAACCCUCAAGCCCCCGGGCUUGGUGUUGGGGAUCGGCGAGCCUCCGCGCCCGCCGUCCCCUAAAUCUAGUGGCGGUCUCGCUGUAGCUUCCUCUGCGUAGUAGCACAACCUCGCAGUUGGAACGCGGCGGUGGCCAUGCCGUUAAACACCCCACUUCUGAAAGUUGACCUCGGAUCAGGUAGGAAUACCCGCUGAACUUAAGCAUAUCAAUAAGCGGAGGA